UCCUUGCCUAGAGCAGUGGUGUGUAC
This 26-nucleotide non-coding RNA is filed under the name Homo sapiens (human). Lineage: Eukaryota; Metazoa; Chordata; Mammalia; Primates; Hominidae. The record is from RNAcentral.